RNAcentral lists this transfer RNA (88 nucleotides) under Dehalococcoidia bacterium. Its description in RNAcentral is "tRNA-Leu". It matches the Rfam family "tRNA". Rfam says of the family: Transfer RNA (tRNA) molecules are approximately 80 nucleotides in length. The record is from RNAcentral. Lineage: Bacteria; Bacillati; Chloroflexota; Dehalococcoidia.
GCCGAGAUGGUGGAAUGGCAGACACGCUAGCUUGAGGGGCUAGUGCCCGAUUAAGGGCGUGGGAGUUCAAAUCUCCCUCUCGGCACCA